AAUUCUUACGUUGUGAGUUUUUAAGUAUAUUUUCUUAAAGUCUAUGUAUUUUUUCAUCAAUCUACAAAAUAAUAACUGUUGUUCUGGAUCUAUGCCUUAGAAAGAUUUCUUUGAGGAUUUAAUUUAAAAUCUGAUAUUCAAAGUCGACGGUAGUUGCCGAAACAAGCUAUAAAAGUUUGUGAAUAAAAGACAAUAUUUAUUAUAGUGUUAACCAUUUUAACCACGUAGACAAUUUUGAAGAUUAUAAGUAUAUUUCAACAGUGUAAAAUAUUGUUGGUUGCUGUUGCCUCUUUUCCAUAUACUCAGAUAAGUAUAAAAACAUAUAAUGUUAAAAAUUGCUUUCUUUUAUUUAUUAAAUGUAUUUUAUUUCUUUUUGUUAGGUAUAGGUGCAUAUUUAAAAAGUGAAAAUCGUAAUUUGAUUUGUUUCUGAAAUAUGGUGGCACGUAGGUACAUAAUCUUCAACUUUGGACCGGCAAAAGUGGAAAAAUCAACACAAAAUAAAAACCAUAUUAAAGGCAGGCGGUUCUCAACAAAUGCUGUACACUUGAAAUUGUCAUUGCAAACUAAAGCAAAACAUUGAAUUUACUCAAGAGUCUAAUGCUGCCGAUUACAAUAAGAUGAUGCAUCCAUUAAAAAAGUAAAAUUAAGUUAAAAAUUAAAUUUAUAGUGAAAUGUAUAGUGAUAGUGAU
This is a long non-coding RNA of Episyrphus balteatus (marmalade hoverfly), 689 nucleotides long. RefSeq lists it as uncharacterized. The record is from RefSeq and is a predicted model, not a curated record. Lineage: Eukaryota; Metazoa; Arthropoda; Insecta; Diptera; Syrphidae. The transcript has 3 exons.